Molecule: ribosomal RNA, 1346 nt
Filed under: uncultured bacterium
Lineage: Bacteria
Description: bacterial SSU rRNA
Rfam family: Bacterial small subunit ribosomal RNA
Source: RNAcentral
GACGAACGCUGGCGGCGUGCUUAACACAUGCAAGUCGAACGGAAAGGCCCUGCUUUUGUGGGGUGCUCGAGUGGCGAACGGGUGAGUAACACGUGAGUAACCUGCCCUUGACUUUGGGAUAACUUCAGGAAACUGGGGCUAAUACCGGAUAGGAGCUCCUGCUGCAUGGUGGGGGUUGGAAAGUUUCGGCGGUUGGGGAUGGACUCGCGGCUUAUCAGCUUGUUGGUGGGGUAGUGGCUUACCAAGGCUUUGACGGGUAGCCGGCCUGAGAGGGUGACCGGCCACAUUGGGACUGAGAUACGGCCCAGACUCCUACGGGAGGCAGCAGUGGGGAAUAUUGCACAAUGGGCGGAAGCCUGAUGCAGCAACGCCGCGUGCGGGAUGACGGCCUUCGGGUUGUAAACCGCUUUCGCCUGUGACGAAGCGUGAGUGACGGUAAUGGGUAAAGAAGCACCGGCUAACUACGUGCCAGCAGCCGCGGUGAUACGUAGGGUGCGAGCGUUGUCCGGAUUUAUUGGGCGUAAAGGGCUCGUAGGUGGUUGAUCGCGUCGGAAGUGUAAUCUUGGGGCUUAACCCUGAGCGUGCUUUCGAUACGGGUUGACUUGAGGAAGGUAGGGGAGAAUGGAAUUCCUGGUGGAGCGGUGGAAUGCGCAGAUAUCAGGAGGAACACCAGUGGCGAAGGCGGUUCUCUGGGCCUUUCCUGACGCUGAGGAGCGAAAGCGUGGGGAGCGAACAGGCUUAGAUACCCUGGUAGUCCACGCUGUAAACGGUGGGUACUAGGUGUGGGGUCCAUUCCACGGGUUCCGUGCCGUAGCUAACGCUUUAAGUACCCCGCCUGGGGAGUACGGCCGCAAGGCUAAAACUCAAAGGAAUUGACGGGGCCCCGCACAAGCGGCGGAGCACGCGGAUUAAUUCGAUGCAACGCGUAGAACCUUACCUGGGUUUGACAUGGAUCGGGAGCGCUCAGAGAUGGGUGUGCCUCUUUUGGGGUCGGUUCACAGGUGGUGCAUGGCUGUCGUCAGCUCGUGUCGUGAGAUGCUGGGUUAAGUCCCGCAACGAGCGCAACCCUUGUUCACUGUUGCCAGCACGUUAUGGUGGGGACUCAGUGGAGACCGCCGGGGUCAACUCGGAGGAAGGUGGGGAUGACGUCAAGUCAUCAUGCCCCUUAUGUCCAGGGCUUCACGCAUGCUACAAUGGCUGGUACAGAGAGUGGCGAGCCUGUGAGGGUGAGCGAAUCUCGGAAAGCCGGUCUCAGUUCGGAUUGGGGUCUGCAACUCGACCUCAUGAAGUCGGAGUCGCUAGUAAUCGCAGAUCAGCAACGCUGCGGUGAAUACGUUCCCGGGGCU